Varroa destructor (honeybee mite) is the source of this 1255-nucleotide long non-coding RNA. Lineage: Eukaryota; Metazoa; Arthropoda; Arachnida; Mesostigmata; Varroidae. The record is from RefSeq and is a predicted model, not a curated record.
UUAGGCUCCAGGCCACUUCAAAUAGCAGCAUUAACACAUUACGAUGUGUAGCCGUUACCUGUAGAAAUGUAAGUGGUCGUAAAUGCACUGCAGGGGUAUCACCGUAACUGGGAUGAAGUGCUGUGAGCAAACAAAACACUUGACAAUUGGAUACGUUUUUUAUGGCAAAGGCAAAUUGAGCUGCACAUGGAAAAUGUAUCCGCUGAUAUGAAUGGAUAGCUUGCUUUGCUUUGUGACGCUUAGCGUGAAGGCGAUCCAAUCCUGCUAAUGUUUGAAGAGAGCUAGGAAAUCCUCGAUGCGACAGUAUGUACAAGCUGAUUUUUUUAAUUCUUAUGCGUCGUUGUAGGCCUUGAGUUCCCGUUCUUUUCUCUUAUUACGUUCUUCUCCAUGGCCUCAAACCGUUCAUAGGACAACUUUACCGCCGCUAUCAGGCACAACGGGUAUCUAAUGGGUUUCCAGCCAAACGUUGAAGCUCAGUGACCUCGAAUCGCUGUACAAAGGACUGCUAUCACAACAUCGCGAGCGAAAGGCUGAUGACGAAGGAAACGGAAAUGCAGAUUGAGGAAAUGCAUACAGCAGUAUUGAAAGGAACAGUACCAUUACCACGGAAGAAGUCUACCGACCGAACCAGUUGUCGUUUUCUCAAUGAACUAUCUUUUUCGAAUGGAAACUUCGUCUCAAUACUGAAAAGUGUGCCGACACCGAGCGCGACGGGCACGCAAAUGCGGUAUAAGAGAAGAACGAUAGAGAGAGAGAGAGAGAUGGAGGUGUCAAUAGAGUGCACCGUUGCAGGGACGAUUUUCAAACAGUUAUACAAAGAAUGCGCGUGGUGGUGGUGAACGUGAUCUAUGGUGAUUCGAUGGGCGGACGGGGGUCGGUAAGUCGUUCCUGCUUCCGGUUCUCUUUGGUAAGGCCAGAGCCCUUUGCCCCAGGAGACAGCCGAGAUAAGAUUGGAAUAAGUAAAUAAGUCGAGUUUUUCCGAGAAGUGGGGCUACAGAAAGGCGGAUAAAACGACAUACGUUGUUUAUAGUAACAAAAGGUACACAUGGUAGGUAGGAUAGCAAAGCGUGUGCGAAUAUUCAAAAUUAAACAUUAUUUGACGGGCUACGUCACAUGUUGAGGGCAUGGCUUACGGCAACGACCGCCUGACCCUUUAAAACUAACUUUUUUGUGAUAAAAGACACUAGAAGAAGGGACGUUUCAAGACGGGAUGUCAAUUCUCUAAAAGGUAAUAGAGUUUGAAAGGACAAACGUU